Molecule: long non-coding RNA, 755 nt
Organism: Cyprinodon tularosa
Lineage: Eukaryota; Metazoa; Chordata; Actinopteri; Cyprinodontiformes; Cyprinodontidae
Exons: 2
Source: RefSeq, a predicted model, not a curated record
UGGCUAUUUUUGGAUAAAGCGGCUAAUCACUGUGUUGCAGCCCGCCUAUAAAGCCUGGACGCAUUCUCCAGACCACUCAUACUACGCUCAAGGAUCACACAGCACUUAUUUCACUGCUGUAUUUCAAGGAGCACAAACAGAAACACUGAAGAAUGAAAAACAGGAGGUUGCUGUUGUCUCUUCCUCCAUUACCCACAAUUACAGAGACACUGGAGGAGCUACCUGUCCAUCCCACCUCCUUGAAACCAUCUCAGAGCUCCCACUCUUUUGAGGACUACAUGUCCAGCAUCCAGGCACUAGCGCGACCUGUAGAAGGCCCGAGUUACGGCCCCGUCAGACUCCAGAGGUCACCCAGGCAGCGUCAGCUCUCAAAAGCUGCACGUGUGUCUUCACGCACACCGAGGACUUCUAGAGCCUCCAGUCUGUGCACACACAGCACAGAGGAGUUUUCGCUAAAGAUGAGCAGAGAACAAGACUGCCGGGGCAAAGACCCCAUGGACUGGCUCUUUGGACAAAUAAGGACUUGAAGAGAGACAUUUUUGUUGUUGGACAUAAUGUGGGUACUUUGAUGGAGUGAAGAAAUAAAUUCUGAAGGGACCUCAGGAAUAACUGCUCCACCAUGGCUCAUAAUAAUAGUGCAAAUUCAACCUAUUUAUUUCUAUUUACUAAAGACUCUAUGAGACCUAUAUGUUUACCUUUAAUAUUUUAUGAAGUCUUAAGCUGUUGUUUCUAAUAAAAUCCUAAUAUAUCAAAAA